RNAcentral lists this ribosomal RNA (498 nucleotides) under uncultured bacterium. RNAcentral describes it as "partial 16S ribosomal RNA". It matches the Rfam family "Bacterial small subunit ribosomal RNA", at positions 30 to 523 of the family's 1533-position model. The record is from RNAcentral.
AUUGAACGCUGGCGGCAUGCCUUACACAUGCAAGUCGAACGGUAACAGGUCUUCGGAUGCUGACGAGUGGCGAACGGGUGAGUAAUACAUCGGAACGUGCCUAGUAGUGGGGGAUAACCACUCGAAAGAGUGGCUAAUACCGCAUGAGAUCUACGGAUGAAAGCAGGGGAACGCAAGACCUUGUGCUACUAGAGCGGCCGAUGGCAGAUUAGGUAGUUGGUGGGAUAAAAGCUUACCAAGCCGACGAUCUGUAGCUGGUCUGAGAGGACGAUCAGCCACACUGGGACUGAGACACGGCCCAGACUCCUACGGGAGGCAGCAGUGGGGAAUUUUGGACAAUGGGCGCAAGCCUGAUCCAGCAAUGCCGCGUGCAGGAUGAAGGCCUUCGGGUUGUAAACUGCUUUUGUACGGAACGAAAAGCCCCGGGUUAAUACCCUGGGGUCAUGACGGUACCGUAAGAAUAAGCACCGGCUAACUACGUGCCAGCCGCCGCCGUAA